UACAGAGGGUGCGAGCGUUGUCCGGAAUCACUGGGCGUAAAGGGCGCGUAGGUGGUGACCUAAGCGUGCGGUGAAAGCCCGAGGCUCAACCUCGGGUCGGCCGUGCGAACUGGGUCACUGGAGCAGAAUAGAGGCAGGUGGAAUUCCGGGUGUAGCGGUGGAAUGCGUAGAGAUCCGGAAGAACACCGGUGGCGAAGGCGGCCUGCUGGGCAGUGGCUGACACUGAGGCGCGACAGCGUGGGGAGCAAACAGG
Molecule: ribosomal RNA, 253 nt
Filed under: uncultured bacterium
Lineage: Bacteria
Description: partial 16S ribosomal RNA
Rfam family: Bacterial small subunit ribosomal RNA
Source: RNAcentral